AAAACCUUGAGGUUAAUUUAUAACAAAUAUUGUAAGAUGCUUUUGAAUGAUAUAUAAAGAAUUUUUUUAAAGUACGGGUUCCAUAUGAUAUUAAUCCUUGCCCGGACGAACUAACUAUCGGGUAUUGCUUUUUCGGGUUGGAUAGCCUAGAGUGAUAUCGGAUAGGAGCGUUGGUGUUCUUUGGUUGUUGGUCUAAGGCGAUCAGAAGUAUUCUGAGAACCUCGGAUCGACCAUCGAGGAACAUCAACCGUGUCAUUUCCGGUCAAUUACGAUCAGGGGUGUCACAGUCGGGGGCAUUCGUAUUUCAUAGUCAGAGGUGAAAUUCUUGGAUUUAUGAAAGACGAACAACUGUGAAAGCAUUUGCCAAGGAUGUUUUCAUUAAUCAAGAACGAAAGUUGGGGGCUCGAAGACGAUCAGAUACCGUCCUAGUAUCAACCAUAAACGAUGCCGACCAAUUACGUCACCCAUUACCACCAUGGCU
Molecule: non-coding RNA, 481 nt
Filed under: Brassica napus (rape)
Lineage: Eukaryota; Viridiplantae; Streptophyta; Magnoliopsida; Brassicales; Brassicaceae
Also listed under: 1 other name
Description: rRNA SSU_rRNA_eukarya
Rfam family: Eukaryotic small subunit ribosomal RNA
Source: Rfam by way of RNAcentral